UUGGCUGGUACUUUAUCUCCAGCGACUUUAUCUCCAUCCAAGGCUUAGUAAAUAGACUCCAUAGAAACAUGUCACACUGCAGCACCUGGCUCAUGUCCCUGCAGUGCCAUUUCAAGGUGCGGGUGAGCCGUGCAAUCGCACAGGGUGCCUCGUCCACUGCCUCCACACAGGACACACCCCUUAACCAGCAGCACAUCACCCAGCUGGUGGCCCACGUCAUCCAUUCUGCUGCUGCUGCUGGGACAGUCGCUUGGCUCCCAUCUUGGAGACACUGCUGCGGGCUGCUGUGAGGGCAAGGAGCCAGACACCCAGGACCCGAGAAGAAUAGGAACAUUGAUUUGUAAGCGGAAUUUAAAAAGAAUCGAAAUAUUGCAACAUGAAGUAAAAUAUCCCGGAGUCUACUGCCGAGAAAUCACACAGGCUGCAGAAACAUAAAGGAUAUACAAGUGCUUCAGAAUAGCCCUUAACAGACUGAUUGGUGAAAGACUUUGUGGAACUGAAGAGUGAAAACAGUGUAUGCGACAGUCAGCAGCCGUUUGAUGGCGUGGAUGUGGACGGGUUCAGAAAACAGAGGCGUCCCGAAGCCAGUAGCUGCACUCUCGGACACAGCUUUUCCUGCCCUGGCUGUGCAGUUUUGGAGGACAUCCUGAGUAACCGAUGGUCACGCAGAAGAUCUGAUGCUGCAUCUCUGGAAUGCAGCAAGCGCAUCACAAAAGCCUGCAUUGUGCGAUUUUUCUUUUUUUUUUAAGAAUGACUCCUUUUGCUUUUGCAUAUUUUUUGCAAAUUUUAACACAGCAGCUGAAUCAGGUUCAUCUUCCAAGUUCCAAUAAAUAC
Pseudophryne corroboree (corroboree frog) is the source of this 834-nucleotide long non-coding RNA. RefSeq lists it as uncharacterized. The record is from RefSeq and is a predicted model, not a curated record. Lineage: Eukaryota; Metazoa; Chordata; Amphibia; Anura; Myobatrachidae. The transcript is spliced from 4 exons.